RNAcentral lists this ribosomal RNA (473 nucleotides) under uncultured bacterium. RNAcentral's name for it is "bacterial SSU rRNA". It matches the Rfam family "Bacterial small subunit ribosomal RNA", at positions 8 to 526 of the family's 1533-position model. The record is from RNAcentral.
AGGGUUUGAUUAUGGCUCAGAACGUACGCUGGCGGCACGCCUAACACAUGCAAGUCGAACGAAGUAGCAAUACUUAGUGGCAGACGGGUGAGUAACAUGUAGGUAUCUGCCCUUUGGCCUGGAAUAACACGAGGAAACUUGUGCUAAUACCGGAUAAGUCUUUACGGAGAAAGCUUUAUGCACCAUUGGAUGAGCCUGCACUUGAUUAGUUUGUUGGUGGGGUAAUGGCCUACCAAGACUGUGAUCAAUAGCUGAUUUGAGAGGAUGAUCAGCCACAUUGGGACUGAGACACGGCCCAAACUCCUACGGGAGGCAGCAGUGGGGAAUCUUGCACAAUGGAGGAAACUCUGAUGCAGCGAUGCCGCGUGAGUGAAGAAGGCCCUUGGGUUGUAAAGCUCUUUCGUCGGGGAAGAAAAUGACUGUACCCGAAUAAGAAGGUCCGGCUAACUUCGUGCCAGCAGCCGCGGUAAUAC